Molecule: ribosomal RNA, 492 nt
Filed under: uncultured bacterium
Lineage: Bacteria
Description: partial 16S ribosomal RNA
Rfam family: Bacterial small subunit ribosomal RNA
Source: RNAcentral
AGUGAACGCUGGCGGUAGGCCUAACACAUGCAAGUCGAGCGGCAGCACAGUAAGAGCUUGCUCUUACGGGUGGCGAGUGGCGGACGGGUGAGGAAUACAUCGGAAUCUACUUUUUCGUGGGGGAUAACGUAGGGAAACUUACGCUAAUACCGCAUACGACCUACGGGUGAAAGCAGGGGAUCUUCGGACCUUGCGCGAUUGAAUGAGCCGAUGUCGGAUUAGCUAGUUGGCGGGGUAAAGGCCCACCAAGGCGACGAUCCGUAGCUGGUCUGAGAGGAUGAUCAGCCACACUGGAACUGAGACACGGUCCAGACUCCUACGGGAGGCAGCAGUGGGGAAUAUUGGACAAUGGGCGCAAGCCUGAUCCAGCCAUACUGCGUGGGUGAAGAAGGCCUUCGGGUUGUAAAGCCCUUUUGUUGGGAAAGAAAAGCAGCAGGUUAAUACCCCGCUGUUCUGACGGUACCCAAAGAAUAAGCACCGGCUAACUUCGUG